UACGUAGGGGGCAAGCGUUGUCCGGAAUUACUGGGCGUAAAGGGCGCGUAGGCGGCCCGUCAAGUCCCGUGUGAAAGCCCCCGGCUCAACCGGGGAACGGCGCGGGAAACUAGCAGGCUUGAGUUCGGGAGAGGGAAGCGGAAUUCCGGGUGUAGCGGUGAAAUGCGCAGAUAUCAGGAGGAACACCGGUGGCGAAGGCGGCCAUCUGGACGGAUACUGACGCUGAGACGCGAAAGCGUGGGUAGCAAACAGG
RNAcentral lists this ribosomal RNA (253 nucleotides) under uncultured bacterium. RNAcentral's name for it is "partial 16S ribosomal RNA". It matches the Rfam family "Bacterial small subunit ribosomal RNA", at positions 524 to 776 of the family's 1533-position model. The record is from RNAcentral.